This is a long non-coding RNA of Gastrolobium bilobum, 708 nucleotides long. RefSeq lists it as uncharacterized. The record is from RefSeq and is a predicted model, not a curated record. NCBI's taxonomy places the organism in Eukaryota, Viridiplantae, Streptophyta, Magnoliopsida, Fabales, Fabaceae. The transcript is spliced from 3 exons.
CUUCUUCUUGCUUAUUAAAAUCGUGAACCAUAGUUGAUGAAAGGGCAAACUUGAACUCCAUCAAACACUUAGAUUUAGGUCUUGCAAUCUUCGCAAAACUUGAAGAGCUUGGUCUUGUGAGUAUAUUCCAAGUGUUAGAACCUUGAAAGAAGCUUAGAGUUGUGAGAAAUUCUCUCCUUGGUGCAGCGCACCAAAGCUGCCAUGUGAAUUUGGAGGGAGCUUUUGCUUGCCUACUUGUUGGGUUGUGUUCUCUAGCCUUUAGUGAAGUGAUUCAAGGUGAAUUUGGUGAAGCAAGUGAGCUUGGAUAUUUCUUGGUGUCAAAACAAAUUGGAAAAGAGAACAGGAGUACAGGUACAUCUUCUGAGACAACGGGUUCCAGGAAGGGCAAGAAAGUGGUUUCAGAGUGGAUAUGUUGCUUUUAUGACUGUUUGUCUGACAUGAACAUAUAUAUGUAAAUCUUUGUUUUAAUUAUCUGACUCGAGGAUGACAGUAUCUCUUUUUGAUGACAUGAUGUGUGGUCAUGUCUAGAUAUAGUUUUAUUUUGAUAUCUGUAAUAGAAUGUAAAUGUUGUAAUUAUGUAAAUAGGAGUAUUAGAAGUCGAAAUAUGCAGUAAGUAGAUGAACAUGUAUAUUUUUAUGUUUUAAUGGCAUGGAGCCAUAUAUUGUAUUGUUUGCUGGGACUUUUCUGUAUUUCAAGCUAUGUAUUUUG